This 405-nucleotide ribosomal RNA is filed under the name Mesalia mesal. RNAcentral's name for it is "partial small subunit ribosomal RNA". It matches the Rfam family "Bacterial small subunit ribosomal RNA", at positions 769 to 1404 of the family's 1533-position model. Lineage: Eukaryota; Metazoa; Mollusca; Gastropoda; Turritellidae. The record is from RNAcentral.
AAACUGGGAUUAGAUACCCCACUAUUCUUAAAUAUAAAUUGAUAACUGCCAGAGUACUACGAAUUUAUGUUUAAAACUCAAAGAACUUGGCGGUGUCUUAGACCAUUUAGGGGAACCUGUCUCAUAAUCGAUAACCCACGAUACACCUGACCUCUUUUUGCAACUCAGUAUGUAUACCGUCGUCGUCAGGUAACUUUUAAGAAUUAAGAAGUUAGCAAAAAAGUAUUUGCUUCUACGUCAGAUCAAGGUGCAGCCAAUAAAGAGGAGAGGAUGGGUUACAAUUAAAAAUAAUAAUACGGAGAGAGAGUGAAACCUUUCUUGUAAGGCGGACUUAAAAGUAAAAUAAAUAAAUAAAAAUUAUUUGAAUAAUGGCUCUUAGACGUGCACACACCGCCCGUCACCCUC